Molecule: ribosomal RNA, 253 nt
Filed under: uncultured bacterium
Lineage: Bacteria
Description: partial 16S ribosomal RNA
Rfam family: Bacterial small subunit ribosomal RNA
Source: RNAcentral
UACGAGGGGGGCAAGCGUUGUUCGGAAUUACUGGGCGUAAAGGGCUCGUAGGUGGCCAACUAAGUCAGACGUGAAAUCCCCAGGCUUAACCUGGGAACUGCGUCUGAUACUGGAUGGCUUGAAUUCGGGAGAGGGAUGCAGAAUUCCAGGUGUAGCGGUGAAAUGCGUAGAUAUCUGGAGGAAUACCGGUGGCGAAGGCGGCAUCCUGGACCGAGAUUGACACUGAUGAGCGAAAGCUAGGGGAGCAAACGGG